This 73-nucleotide transfer RNA is filed under the name Felis catus (domestic cat). It matches the Rfam family "tRNA". From Rfam's summary of the family: Transfer RNA (tRNA) molecules are approximately 80 nucleotides in length. Their secondary structure includes four short double-helical elements and three loops (D, anti-codon, and T loops). Further hydrogen bonds mediate the characteristic L-shaped molecular structure. tRNAs have two regions of fundamental functional importance: the anti-codon, which is responsible for specific mRNA codon recognition, and the 3' end, to which the tRNAs corresponding amino acid is attached (by aminoacyl-tRNA synthetases). tRNAs cope with the degeneracy of the genetic code in two manners: having more than one tRNA (with a specific anti-codon) for a particular amino acid; and 'wobble' base-pairing, i.e. permitting non-standard base-pairing at the 3rd anti-codon position. Lineage: Eukaryota; Metazoa; Chordata; Mammalia; Carnivora; Felidae. The record is from Rfam by way of RNAcentral.
GCCUGGCUGGGUCAGUUGGUAUAGCAUGAGACUCUUAAUCUCAGGGUUGUGAGUUCGAGCCCCAUGUUGGGUA